The sequence is a small nuclear RNA, 170 nucleotides long. Its record names the gene U1. It matches the Rfam family "U1 spliceosomal RNA". From Rfam's summary of the family: U1 is a small nuclear RNA (snRNA) component of the spliceosome (involved in pre-mRNA splicing). Its 5' end forms complementary base pairs with the 5' splice junction, thus defining the 5' donor site of an intron. The record is from Ensembl.
AUACUUACCCAGUGGCGGGGGGGGGGUACCAUGAUCACGAAGGUGUUUUUUCUCAAGGCAAGGCUUAUCCAUUGCACUCUGGAUGUGCCGACCCUUGCAAUUUCCCCAAAUGCAGGAAACUCAACUGCAUAAUUUGUGGUAUUGGGGGACUGCGUUUGCACUCUCCCCUG